GAUGAACGCUGGCGGCGUGCUUAACACAUGCAAGUCGAGCGAAAAGACGGGGAAGUUGCUCCCCUGACGGUAGCGGGGGGCAGGGGAGUGACAUGUGGAGAACCUACCUGAAUAACGGGGGAAACUUCGGCAAACGGGUGCCUAUUACGGCUAAUACAUUGAACCGGAAAGUAGAAGAGUUUAAGGCGGUUUUGCAGUCACUUAGCGGUUGAUCCGCGCCGCAUUAGCUAGUUGGUAAGGUAACGGCUUACCAAGGCAACGAUGCGUAGCCGAGCUGAGAGGGUGAUCCGCCACACUGGAACUGAGACACGGCCCAGACUCCUACGGGAGGCAGCAGUGGGGAAUCUUCCGCAAUGGGCGAAAGCCUGACCGAGCAACGCCGCGUGAGUGAUGAAGGUCUUCGGAUCGUAAAACUCUGUUAUUAGGGAAGAACAAGUUUGUAAGUAACUAUGCACGUCUUGACGGUACCUAAUCAGAAAGCCCCGGCUAACUACGUG
This 497-nucleotide ribosomal RNA is filed under the name uncultured bacterium. Its description in RNAcentral is "partial 16S ribosomal RNA". It matches the Rfam family "Bacterial small subunit ribosomal RNA", at positions 28 to 507 of the family's 1533-position model. The record is from RNAcentral.